Molecule: transfer RNA, 72 nt
Filed under: Ictidomys tridecemlineatus (thirteen-lined ground squirrel)
Lineage: Eukaryota; Metazoa; Chordata; Mammalia; Rodentia; Sciuridae
Description: Spermophilus tridecemlineatus (thirteen-lined ground squirrel) tRNA
Rfam family: tRNA
About the family: Transfer RNA (tRNA) molecules are approximately 80 nucleotides in length. Their secondary structure includes four short double-helical elements and three loops (D, anti-codon, and T loops).
Source: Rfam by way of RNAcentral
AGGGGUGUAGCUCAGUGGUUGAGUGCUUAUCUCACAUGUGUGAGGCACUGGGUUCGAUCCUCAGCACCGCAU